AUGUGAGGGUGAUAUGGCUGUGACGUCUGUCAUCCCCCUGAUGGCUAGGGUGGAUUUGACAAUCGAAAGGCCAGUGUCCCUUUCCUCCCAUGAGAUAUGUGCGUUCUUCCUGGAGCUGCAUAUUUGGUGGAAGAGGACGUUUCCCAGUAGAGGUGGACCUGUCUCAAGGUCCAUUUGUAGGAGAACAUGGGGUAGGCAAGCUUCUAGGACUCCAGACAUAUCCAAAUGAAGUCUGCCUUU
This is an unclassified non-coding RNA of Bison bison bison, 240 nucleotides long. Its record names the gene 7SK. It matches the Rfam family "7SK RNA". From Rfam's summary of the family: 7SK was discovered as an abundant small nuclear RNA in the mid-70s but a possible function has only recently been suggested. Two independent studies have found that 7SK RNA binds the CDK9/cyclin T complex (known as elongation factor P-TEFb). The record is from Ensembl. NCBI's taxonomy places the organism in Eukaryota, Metazoa, Chordata, Mammalia, Artiodactyla, Bovidae.